GCACACAAAAAAUAUUACUGUAAUGACAAAAGUAACUUACUUUUGAAUUUAAAAGUUGCUAAAAUUUGCUAGAGGGAAAGUUUUUUUCUUGUUUUAAAAAUGAAAAAUUUUACUGCUACAGUUUUUGAAAAUCUCAUUGCUAACUGAUUUAAAAGUUUAAACUUUUAAUUCGACUGUAUAAUUUCUUUCAUUUUGUCGUUCUCGUGAAACCGCCUAAGUCCAAAAUGUAAACAAACGUUUAGGUGAUUUCGGUGCAUGGUUAGUGAGUGGUGGUUCACGACGACAAUCAAAACCGAACGCGGCCGCAGCUAGGACUUGGACCACGACUUGGACGCGGAAACCUUCGAAGGAGGAUGGUGCGGGUGCGGAACAAGGUUGGGGGAUUAGGGGAAAGUUGGUUUUCAAAAGGACAAGUCCAGCUUCCUGCAGGACCUGCAGCUUUCACGACCGAAAUGGGUAAGAAGGAAGCUUGGGUGUUUGGUGGCGUUUGUGAUUGAUUUUGUUUGUUUUUGUAGGACGCCGUUUAUGCUGUUGCCGAAAAUCGGAGGUCGGGAUGUGGUUUUGCACCGGUUGUAUUGAGUGAGGAGAAGGAUCCGACGGACUAGGGAAACUACGAGAAGCAGCAUAAUCGGAGGUGGUCAGCGUGGAUGUUGCACUCGGUGCCGGCGGUUUACGACCAUCAGUAGCAUUAUGUGCCGAAAGUGAUGACGGGACAGUGUAGGAUGUCCUGGAGCGAGACCCGACGAACCUGAUCAAGAACAUCUACCCGGAAUACCGAAGAAGUCACCGGUGAGUAUUGAGAUUGUGUUCAGUGUCUAGCCAAUUUCAUUUACUUUCAAACUAUUUCAGCAACUCCCGCCCGCAAACACUCAUCUCGCGACGGCGCAGCUUCGGCCGGAUGAACCUUGACGGCUGUAUCAUUUUCGAAGGAGGACGAAGUGAUCGUGAACUAUCCUUUCAGGCGCUUCACUUCCCAGCCGGGAAACGUCGACUUCCCUUCCCGAAUCAAUAACCAAUGGCCAACUCCUCCAAGCCUUUCCUGAGGAUGGCCGGCAACGAGACCACCCUGUUCUCUACAUCGCUGUCGCGCUCUAAAAUGAAGGCCACGAUGUUGCUGCCCAACGAAACAUCCAUCCGUAACCUGCUCAGCCUGGGGCCUUCGAACGUGACCGGUGGCAUACCGUAAGAAUCGGUACAGCUUGGACGUGGAAGUUGGCCAACAGAUGCGUUAAAUACAAAAAAAAAAUAUUGAAAUAAAAUCCAUCACAUUUUUCGAAAAUCAACAAUGUAAUGUUAAAUGUUAUUUAUUCUUGCCAUAAAAAGUUUUUUCUUAUAUUCAAAGUAAAAAACUUUUACCUAUACAACGAUUUUGUUCCAGAAAUGCAUGGUAGUAUCAACAACUUUUUAACUUUUAAAUUAAAAAGUUUGAACUUUCUACGAAUAUUCACCAACGCGAACUUUUAAUCCAACGAACGAUCUUUUUAAAUUUAGAGUAUUUUUUCUUUGUGUGUGGGAUCAACCGUGCAACGGCCUCCGAUCAUCCAGCGGCACUGCCACCCGCCGGAUGAAACUUGUAGUGAUAGCGAUCGCUGGCGCUGGCCAACAACGAUCCGUCCCGGUCCACAGAACUACUGGCGCCAACCGUCGCUGACUCGGUCGACGUCCCGCCGCGGUCCUUCAGGAACCGGACCUACUAGCCGCCGGCCAUGGCCCUGUUGUGCGACGAGUACUGAUUUGUGCUAACGCAGGCUUAAAAAAAAAACAAGAGCGUUAGAAUCUGCAGCAAUCGCCGACAGGACUCAGGAACUAACCGUUACGCCUUCGUCGCGUUCGAGGCGAAAUCAGCCAGCAUCUGGCCGGCAAAGUCUUGCGCCUGGUACCGCUUCUCGUACACUUCGAAGCCGAGAUGCAGCUGUUCGCGCUUGUUCUUCUCCCGUUGCUUGAUCAUCUCCAGCAGCUAUGCUUGAACAUCUUCUGGUAAGGGGACUCGUCAUUUUUGCAGAUCUUCCUAGUUUGCAUACUUUUUUCGGAGUUAUUCGAGGUUACUGUCGGAAGAUGAUUCUCUUCCCCUGAGGACACUGUGAGUGAUUUUGCUUGUUCGCGUCCAAACAGCCCCUUUUGGCCCUUCAUACGGCAGUAAUUUGAAGAUGCUCUCUUUAAGUCUGAGCCACUGUAAUUCUAGGCAACCGCUACAUAGGUCAUCCUUGUGGCCCUGUUGGUUAUCUCAUCAAAUCAAAUCAUCUUCCUAGUUUGCAUAUUUUCGGUUCUUCGUCGGAAUGCCAGAUACGAGUUGUGUUCUGCGUCGUGUUGCUCUGCUUUCCGUCUUCACCGACAGUAUCAGUGAAGAUCGCAUCCGGCGACAGCUAUAUGCCGGUUUCGGUUUUGCCAGGGUCGCGCCCGAUGGAAAAUGUUGAUACGCAAGAUGAGUGUAGUCACCCUCAACCGACUCCCUCAGUCUCUUGGGGGUUGGACUUCCUCGCGCUACUCUUCCUUGUGCGACUUUUCCAUCGCACAGGGCUUUCGACGCCGAUUUUGGCUCUACAAUCUGCUGCAACUUGUCACCACAAACGGAGAGCGUUACCGUUUGCUUCUCGCAACUUUCCGGGAAGCUACCGUUUACGGGAUCAUCGCCUUGAAGGGUUUCUUCAGCGUCUGCCAAAUCACUGGUGAAAUCUUCGAACGCGUGUUCUCGGCAAACGAAUCCAAGUUCUUCAUGUUGGUCGCCAUAAGGAACUUGUACCUUCCAGCGCGAUGUUCUGCCGCGGUGACUUUGCGGUUCCGACGGAAGAUAUCGGGCGGAUCUCGUUGACUGGCCGUGUUCUGAAAUGCUCAUCAGGAACCGAAGGAGCUUAGACUUGGCUACGAUAGCUUCGAGAGAGUAGACGUGUUGUGACGUGCGCGCUGAAGGCAACGUUGCUUGCCUCGAGUUUUUUGACGGAUGGAGGUGGAAGAGACCUCCGAGACGGAUGAUUUUCAACUCAUACCCGGAAAUCGGAAGCGGAAGAAGUCCCUUGAGGUCACCGGAGCUAUCGUCGGAGAAGAAAAAGUGGAGCAGAAUCUGCUCAACAACAACAAGUUCAGCCCGCUAGCGGAAAACAAAAACAACAACAAUGCCAGCCCAGCAGGAGGAGGAGACGUCCCGGCGGUUCCACCACUCGGCCAGUCGGCAGGUAAACAAAAGCAACCGCCUUUUGUGGUGAAGAACACCACGGAUUUUUACAAGCUCGUGGCGAUAGUGGAAGGUUGUAAAUUUGGUUUCGAUCCUAUUUACAAACUGACCCGAUUUGGAACCAAGGUGACCUGCUUCUCUGUCAAAGAUUUUGACAAGUUGCAGGAGCUUCUCCAGAGGAAGAAAGUGGAAUUUUACACCCACGGCCGAAGAAGCGAACGAUUUCACCGGGUCGUUGUUCGUGGUUUACCUGAUCAACUGAAACCGGAUGAGGUCAAGUCAAGGGGGUUGACACUCGAUCAUUCUGGAAUAAUUCUGGAAUGAACGGAAUGACGAUGAUGAUUCUAGCAAAAAUGAUCAAGUGCGGGUAAGAAGGUAACUGUCAUAAUAUUUACCUUUUUAAACCAAAACAUGUUGCGGUGCUCUGCAGCAUUGGGUAGGACACCAGAACCGGCGGUUGUGCUGUACUUUUUCGGAGCGUUCGGUGCCGGCGACAUCCAGAGCAACGGCCGGAUUGGCCUUCACUGGAAUCUGACCGAGCUGCACAAUCCAGGUGUUGGCUACAAGACGAGCAUCUUAGAUGGACCAGCUACGUACCGGCGAGGCCAACGUGCUGGUUAUUCCGGUGGAAGCUGGCUAGUGAAUCCAAGGGCAGGCUCGGAAGCGGAACUGAAUCUGUUGGGGGACUUCUUGGGCCGUCGAUAGCAAGGGAAGCGACUGAGCUGUGGUAGCGGAGAUCCCUCGGACGAGUCGGAAGAGGAGCUCGUGAGGUGGCUGAUGCCGACGGGCAGGACUUUUUCGGUGAUAUGAAGAUCAACAAGGAGGAUGAGCGGGAGAUGUUUCAAAACAAGAACGGCGUAAAGACAUGCAUGCCAGCCGAGAUCGUUAUGGACGAAAUCACCGAAAAACAAACGGGAAUUCAGACGCAGUUUUCCUAAAAUGGUUCGCUCAAAAUGGAAGAUUUCGACUAAUGGAUUCUACAAAUAUAUAAAGCUCCUGGGACAUGCUGAAUUUUGAAUUUAUUUUGAAAUUUUAACAUCAUUAUGCCAAAUGACCAUUAUGCCAAAUGGUCAUUAUGCCAAAUGACCGUUAUGCCAAACGUCCAUUAUGCCAAACGGCAUUAUGCCAAACGGCGUUAUGCCAAACGGCAUUAUGCCAAAUGGCUUUAUGCCAAAUGGGAUACACCCGCUCAAAACAUACGUUGCCAGAUCGAUUUAGCAAGCUUAGAGCAGUCUCCCUAUUUAGGGUCUCUAGGCUAGGUCUGUACUCCCUCACUCCCCAACAGAUGCAUUCUGAAUCAAGAUUUUAAUGUUUUUCUAAAUCAAACAUGGCCGAUCGGGAAUGAUACCUUUCAGAGCCUUAACAACCUAAUUAUAAACCAUUUUUGAUUUUGAAUUCAAUUUAAUGAAAAUUUAGUAAAAUUCAUCCAAACCCAAAAAAGUGUGCCAUGGCAUGACCGCCAUAUUUUUUUUCUAAUGUUGGUGCUACUGCGCGAUUUUGAC
Culex pipiens pallens (northern house mosquito) is the source of this 4671-nucleotide long non-coding RNA. RefSeq lists it as uncharacterized. The record is from RefSeq and is a predicted model, not a curated record. NCBI's taxonomy places the organism in Eukaryota, Metazoa, Arthropoda, Insecta, Diptera, Culicidae. The transcript has 3 exons.